AGACCAACACUAUCAACAUACCCAAAGCACCUGAGCGUCCAGUAUCCAUUGAGGAUCCAGUUAAGGGCAUCAUUAUCCAGAACAAUCGCAAUAAGAUGCAGCUUCUGGCUAAGACAGUGAACAUUACUUCCCCGGUACAAUGGACAACAGCAGAAGCCGACAUCAGCUCCUGCAGAAGAUCCUGAACUUGCAGCUCUCCCUAUGCAUAAACGAAUCCAGGAGAGAGAAGCUCAGAAGGCCAAAAAUAAACUUUCUGAGCCUAAAGCGGAACCUGUGACUGAUUCCAUAUCCGUUGUGAGGAGACAUGAUGUGUCCCGUGUGUAUACAGAACUGAUUCAGAAAACUGCUAAGCAUACCAGUCAUAAUAAAUACAGUCAGGGGAAAACGCCUCCUGCAAACAUUUCACCCAAAGUUGUGCACAUCUCUUUGGAUGACUUUAAAAGGUUGCAGUCUCAGAAGGCCAAAGUGAUAGUUGUUCCUUCCGGGGAGAAGAACAAGGCUGGUACAGUGAUACACCUCAGCACUGGUGGGAUCAGGACGUCAUCCAGCUCGCCAAAUGCUAAGUCCUAUAUUGAAAACAACAAAGAAGAGCAGAAGGCAUCGCCAGCUCAGGGUGUGGUGCCCACGAAAGAUGUGAAAGUCCUGGAACAUUCCUCUGAUAAGAUCACAGUUCUGAAGACCAGUCCUGUUGCAGAAACCCCUGAGAAAACGGAAAUGGAAGAGAAGAUUGAUGAAACUCCAGAUAGUGAUCAGGUAUCAGAACCUCCCCACAAAACAGUUGAAACUCCAAAGACAAUCAUGAAGACACCAAAGAAAACCGUGUUUCGCAAAAAGGUAGAUGAGGAAGAAGAUGCAGUAAAGGAAGAAGAUGAAGAUUCUGAAUGUCCUGUUCCCAAAAAGAAAAGGAAGUCUGUGUCUUGGUCACAGAACCUCACAACAGAAUCUCCAUAUGUUCCCUUGCCACAAGAAGCACAGACUCCAAGCCCAGCACGGUCUACCUGCUUGUAUAAGGAUGGCAUUCAUCGUCGAGUACCAAGGAUGCAUAAGAAAGUCGAGGAAACGGUGGUUUCCAAAGAUGAAGAAAUUGGAUCUGAGAAAACUGUCAUCAAUGGAAUGAUAGUGUCAAAAAGUGCUUUGCAGUCUGCACCUGUUGUCAAGACAUACAGUAAACAAGAACCAGAGAGAAAGCGAAGUUAUGAGUCUGACUUUUUCGUCGAGGAUGGUCCCCCAGAGAAUCGGGAACCAUCACCUCCAAAACUUACAAAGAUUGAACAGAGUGAUUGCGCUGUUAUUGAUCAUUCUGAAGAUGCUCCACCUGAUAUCUUUUCUGAUCCUGAAAUUGAAACCGUUUCAAGUGGCACUGAUUUGACCAGUACCCCAAAACCUAGUACCUGUUUGUAUACAUACACCAAGGAAAAGAAGAAGAAACUCUUUCCAAAGGAAAAGGAGACAAGUGAUGAGUCAACAUGUGCUAAGGUUGUACGGAGAACAAAGCGAUCUCCCCACACUGUUAGAACAACUCGAAGAGGUAGGGUGUCAACUCCAGUACGUGAUGACAUCGUUGACAUCGUUGCAGAAAUUCCUGAAGUGAAUGAGACAAGGAGGCGAGGGAGACCCUCAUCUUCUCUUGUGUGUUUUGCUGUACAAAAGAAAGAUGAUAUUGAUACAGAAAAGAAAGUCAAAUUUACGAAGGUCUAUCAAAGGAACAAGGAGAAGGAUCCAGCAGAGAUGGACAGUGAUCAGUGUGAUAUGCAAGAGCCAGUGUUGGACUUGGUGUCAGAGGCCAACGUGGAAGACUUUGAGGAGGCAGUUAGCGAUGAUGUCGAGAUGGUGGACAUGGGGACUGUGGCACCUGCUGUUGAUGAUGUCUCCAGAAAGGAUACAGCUGCUACAGAGGAACAUGGUCAACCAGGAGAGGGUGUUGGAGAGGCUGCUUCUGGAGAUAAGAAUUUAGAAAAAGAAGGUGUAGAAACUUUAGAAGAAGAACCUGAAACAGUACAAGAUGAACAAGCAGAAAAACAGGCAGAAAAAGAAGAGGAGGAGCAAAAGAGAGAAGAGCAAAAAGAAGAGGAAGAGGGAAAAGAAGAAGAAAAGGAGGAAAAAGAAGAGGAGAUGCAGUCUGAAGAAGAAGAUGAAGUUAUCCAGUUAGAGGAAACUGCAUGUAGUGGCACCCAGACAGUUCAAUUUGCAGAAGUUGAUGGAAAAGUUGUUCCUGUUGAGGAGGUUAAGGAGGAAAAGGAAGAAAUAUUGAUUGAUGAGACGGAGGGUGAAAAGGAGGACCAGACGAAGGAAGAAUCAUCUCAGUUAGGUCAAGGGCUUGGUAAAGUAUGUCAGACAGAGGAUGUAGGUCCUGAUACUGCUGAAAUUCAGCAGCAGGAAUGUGAAGUUGUCCUGGAAGAGGCAGAGGUUAAGCCGCCAGAGCAGCAAGAUGUUGAACAUGAAGUUGAAUCACAGCAACAAGAUGCUGAUGCUGAAGUUGAGUGUGUGGUUGAGCUAGGGCAGGAUGCUGCUGAAAUUCAAGAUGAGCCCGAGAUGCAAGAAGCUGAGGUUGAAUUAAAAAAUCAAGUUGAAGUUGAGCAUGAGAUGAAGCCAGAGAAGCAAGGUGCUGAAGUUGACCAUGAGGUUAAGUCUGGGAAGCAAGAUGCUGAAGUUGAACUUGUAGUUGAGCUAGAGCAGCAAGAUGCUGAAGUUGACCAUGAGGUUGAGCCUGGGAAGCAAGAUGCUGAAGUUGAACUUGUAGUUGAGCUAGAGCAGCAAGAUGCUGAAGUUGAACAUGAGGUUGAGCCUGGGAAGCAAGAUGCUGGAGUUGAACUUGUAGUUGAGCUAGAGCAGCAAGAUGCUGAAGUUGAACAUGAGGUUAAGUCUGGGAAGCAAGAUGCUGAAGUUGAACUUGUAGUUGAGCUAGAGCAGCAAGAUGCUGAAGUUGAACAUGAGGUUAAGUCUGGGAAGCAAGAUGCUGAAGUUGAACUUGUAGUUGAGCUAGAGCAGCAAGAUGCUGAAGUUGAACAUGAGGUUAAGUCUGGGAAGCAAGAUGCUGAAGUUGAACUUGUAGUUGAGCCAAAGCAGCAAGACGCAGAAGUUGAGCAUCAGGUUGAAUUACAGAAUCAAGUUGCUGAAGUUGAAGUUGAUGUUGAAUCAAAACAACAGGUUCCUGGAGUUGAACAUGACAUUGAAUUACAGCAGCAGGUUGCUGAAGUUGAACUUGAGGUGCAGCCAGAACAGCAAGAUGAUAAAGUUGGAGAUGAAGUUGAAUCAGAUCUUAGAGAUGCUGAUGUGCAUAUGAACCAGAAACAUGCUGAUCAGCCAGAUGUGGCUGAAGCUGAAAGUAAUAAGGACAGUGAGUCAAAAGUUGAUGAAUCUCAUUUGGCUGAAGAGGAACCAAUGGAACAGGAAGAUGCUGAAGUAGAAGAGCAAGUAAAAUCAGAACAAAAAUAUACUGAAGUUGAAAAUGGUGUAAAAUUAGAUGUUGAAGAUGUCAAAGUGGGAAACUAUCUAGAAAUGUCUGAAGUUCAAACAGAUGAAGUCUGUAUGGCCAAGGAUGCAGCAAGGGACAAGCCAGAAUCUGCAGAGAGAAGACUGUCAGAUGAACUGAACUCUGAAAGACAGGAACUUAAUACAACUGGAGUGGUAAAGAUGGGUCAAACAGAAAGUCUGCAAACCUAUGUUGACACACAGGUGAAGGCUACAUCAUCAAUUCAACUUGAUAACAAGAGCUCUGGCUCAAAUGUAAAGACAGCUGCAUCAACAACUGAUGAGUCUUCUAACUUACAUGCCAAAACAGAUUCAUCAAAAGAUAGCAGGCCAUCUGACUCUGAUGCUAAAAUGUCUCCAUCAAGUGAUUCCAAGUCAUGUAAUUUCGAGGUUAAGACACCUUCAUCAAGUGAAAGAAAGUCUUCCGAAUCUGAUGUUAAGACACCUUCAUCAAGUGACAGGAAGUCGUCUGACUCUGAUGUUAAGACACCUUCAUCAAGUGAAAGAAAGUCCUCUGACUCUGAUGUUAAGACACCUUCAUCAAGUGACAGGAAGUCGUCUGACUCAGAUGUUAAAAUGUCUCCAUCAGGUGAUAGGAAGUCCACCGACUCUGAUAUUAAGACACCUUCAUCAAGUGAAAGAAAGUCCUCCGAAUCUGAUGUUAAGACACCUUCAUCAAGUGACAGGAAGUCGUCUGACUCAGAUGUUAAAAUGUCUCCAUCAGGUGAUAGGAAGUCCUCCGACUCUGAUAUUAAGACACCUUCAUCAAGUGAAAGAAAGUCCUCCAACACACAUUCUAAAACAUCUUCAUCAAGUGACAGGAGGUCCUCUGAUUCACACUCUAGGACAAGUUCUUCUUGUGACAGGAGGUCCCACGACUCACACUACAAGUCAAGCUCAUCAAGAGACAGGAGGUCCUCCGAUUCACAUGCCAAGUCAAGCUCAUCAAGCGAUAGGAGGUCGUCUGGCUCACAUAGCAGGUCCUCUUCAUCAAGAGAUAGCAAGUCCUCUCAUUCACAUCACAAGUCAUCUUCAUCAAGAGAUAGCAAGUCCUCUGACUCGGAUGCAAAGUCAUCUUCAUCAAGAGAUAGCAAAUCCUCUGACUCGCAUUACAAGUCAAGCUCAUCAAGAGAUAGAAAAUCCUCUGAUUCACAUAGCAAGUCAAGCUCUUCAAGAGAUAGGAGGUCCUCGGACUCACAUAGCAGAUCAUCUUCAUCUAGAGAUGGGAGAUCCUCGGACUCACAUAGUAGAUCCUCCUCAUCAAGAGAUGGGAGGUCCUCGCACUCACAUAGCAGAUCAUCUUCAUCAAGAGAUGGGAGGUCCUCUGACUCACAUAGCAGAUCAUCUUCAUCAAGAGAUGGGAGGUCCUCGGACUCACGUAACCGGUCUCCUUCAUCAAGAGAUAGCAAGUCCUCAGAUUCAUAUAGCAAGUCAACUUUAUUGAGUGCCAGCAAGUCCUUGGAAUCACAACAGACAACUCCAUCAAAUGAUAUCAAAUCCACAGACUCUAAUGUCAAGACAGCUUUACUCAAGGAAGGCCAAAGUGUAGAGGAUUGCCAAACAGUUCCAAACCAAGAUGUUGUAGUAGCGACUGAAGCCAAGGUAGAGAAACAUCCUGUACAAGUGCAAACAACUGUUGUUGGAUCAUCCAAGGAACCAAAAGUGCCUCAAAGUGAACAAGUUACAGGGACUGAAACUGAGAAGAGGGGUGAAAGGAAUUUGGAAGAGAAAGUGGCAACAGAAACAAGUGUUGAAGGUGAUGUUGAAAUGAGUGUGGUUGAAGUAGCUCAAGUUAAAAUUCAUAAGGUUGAGCAGGAGGAAGUUGCAGUUAGUCAGAGUGAGGUGACUGAAGUUGAAAUGGAACAAGAUGAUGUGAAUGCUGUUGAACGACAAGAGGCUGAUGUUGCUAAAGUUGAAAUGGAUCAGGCUGAAGUGGACAUGGAUGUAACUGAAGGGGAAACUGAAAAAGGAAAUGAAAUAGCAGAUGCAAAUGUGGGGGUUGUAACUGGUGCUGAAACAAAUGAGGUAAAUGUAUCUGAAACUCAUCAGUUGAAAAUCAGUGAAGAAAAUGCAUGUAAGACUGAAGCUGUUCAUACAGAAGUAGCCGAAGCUGUUCACACGGAAGUAGCCGAAGCUGUUCACACAGAAGUAGCUGAAGCUGUUCACACGGAAGUAGCCGAAGCUGUUCACACAGAAGUAGCUGAAGCUGUCCACACAGAAGUAGCUGAAGCUGUUCACAUGGAAGUAGCCGAAGCUGUUCACACGGAUGUAACUGAAGCUGUUCACAUAAAAGUAGCUGAAGCUGUUCACACAGAAGUAGCUGAAGCUGUUCACACGGAAGUAGCUGAAGCUGUUGACACGGAAGUAGCUGAAGCUGUUCACACAGAAGUAGCUGAAGCUGUUCACACGGAUGUAACUGAAGCUGUUCACACGGAAGUGGCCAAAGCUGUUCACACGGAUGUAACUGAAGCUGUUCACACAGAAGUAGCUGAAGCUGUUCACACAGAAUUAGCUGAAGCUGUUCACUCAGAAGUAGCCGAAGCUGCUCACACAGAAGUAGCCAAAGCUGUUCACACGGAAGUAGCCGAAGCUGUUCACACAGAAGUAGCCGAAGCUGUUCACACAGAAGUAGCCAAAGCUGUUCACACAGUAGCCGAAGGUGUAUACACAGAAGUAGCCGAAGGUGUUCGCACGGAAGUAGCUGAAGCUGAUGGACUGAAAGGUGGAGCAGAUCAGUCAAGCAAUAUAACAAACACAAGGAAAGACAAUGUUGAAACUGAAGCCUCAGAAGAUAAACUCAGAAAGUCUAGUGUUAAUGAAGUUGAUACAAAAACAUUAUCUGCGGCUGAAAGUGAAACUGAGGAAACAGAUGUGGAAGUUCAGAUUGCAAGAGAGACAAUUGCUGACACCAUAACACCAGAAGUUGUUGAAGAUAAAUUGGACAAACCCUUUGUUCCAAAAGUUGAAACAAAUCAGAUUGAAGUGGAAUAUGUUGAAACUGAUGUUGUGGAAACAAUUGAAUGUGACGGGGAAACACCAGUCGCAGAAAAUGUUAGUGAACCAGUUGAGGUGGUGUCUAUGGAGGUUGAGGAAGAGUGUGUUGAGAGUGGUGAUGCUGUGUGUGGUGAGUCUGAAGAAUUCCGGAGUGAGGACAUACAGGUUGUAGGAGAGGGAUCAGAAGAAGUUGUUGAGGAGGUUGUUGAGGAGGUAGUGCUGGUAGUUGCUGACGGAGAUUAUGUUGAAACAAGAACUGAAUGUUCUGCAGACAAUGCACCUGCAGUAGGUGUCAGUGUUUCCAAGGAACCAAUAAAUUCCAUGGAAACAGAUGUGAUGGACGUAGGUUCCUGUAACACAGUGACUGAGACCAAAACACAUCCAACCACUAUGUUGGAAACAGUGGGGCAACCCGCUGCUCAAGAUGCAAAGACAAGUGAUGAAAUAAUUCCAAUGGAUACUGACUGUGAUGAAGACCCUGAGAGUAAGGAUCAGGAAAUUAGUGUUCAGAUUAUUGAUGACAGUGUUAGUGCUGACGAAACUGGAAAUUGUGAUACUGUGAACAUAGGCCCAACUGUUAGUGAUUCUAAAUCAAGAGACAGUUCAGAAAUGGUGGAGGAAGUUGUUGAGGAACCCAAAUCUGAUGACCCUCCAGAACUGGACUGUAGUGGUCCUCCAGUGUUGGAAAGAAUAUCCCCCAUAGACUAUAAAGAAAGAUCUGCUUCCCCUGAUAGAUUCCCUGCUGAGGGAUGUCAAACAGGAGCUAACCAAAUGAUUUCCCACCAUACAGUACAUAACAGGUCGGUGAAUGGGACAGAGUCGGACAGCAAGACAUGCUCAGAAUCAGACUCAAAGGAAUUACCUGUGCUUAGUGAGCAACAAAAAGACGAUUCAGGGGAUUUUAAAUCGCCAUCCAGUGAUCCAGUUAAAAAGUCCUGCAAGUCCCCAGUGUUCAGUACACCAAGUGAACUCCCAGUUUUACAAAAGCACAGCCCAACCAAACUUUCACACACAAAGAGCAGUUCGGGUAAGAGUUCGCCUGAAAAUUCUUCUCCUAAAAGGUCUCCAACUUCCUCACCUCCUAAACAGGGUGUUGAUAGAAAUGUAUUCAGUGAGUUUGCCUCCAAUGUGAAUUCCUCCGAUUCCAAAACCAGUCCAACAUCGUCACCCAGCAAAGGCUCACCAAAUAGGCCUAAUCUGCCAAUAGGAUUUGCAGCAUCUCUCAGCAAAUUAAAAGAUAUCGGGACCUUUAAAUUGUCAUCAAAAUCAAAGACAUCAGACGGUUCAUCAUCGGAGGGCAGCAGCUGAAAGACAAACCUCCAUCUUUAGUCACAGAUGAAGAAGCUCUGCAUCUUUUGUAAUAGUCACACCUGAUUGGGCAGCAUGCACAUUUGGAAUCAUUUCAUUGGACAACAGACAGCAGUGGGGGCUCACAUCUUUGUCAUGAUUGACAGCAUCUUCUGAGUGCAUUCAUCAACUGUGGCAUGAAAACUGAUUGUACAUAAUUUCAUUUUAGUGCAUCUGAGAUACUGAAUGAGAAAGACUUUGUGAUAGGACUUGUGGUGUUUGACUACAAGAACCAUUUUACGUUCAUUAGCAUCUGUCAGGUUUUAUUAUGUUCAUAUUUACCAGCGAGACUCACUUUCAUACAUCAAUAUCAGGCAUGAAGAUGUUCUUCGGGACUGAUGCCAUAAUUCUACAGAAGUCCCUGUAAUUGUUGUGGUUGUUUUUGGUUUUUUGUAAAUAAUCCCAAAUUCAUCCAAAGAGAGUGUAUUUUGAUAAACUGCUGUAGCAAUCUCCUGUCUCUUCUUAUUUUGAACCAGCAAACAAUUCUGGAUUGUCCCUCAUAAUGUUCAAACCUCAGAUAUUAUCAGGGAGCUGAUAUUGUCCAGUAGCUGCAAUUUGCUGUGCAGAGUUGCAUCCCUUUAGCUUGAUAGGAACCUAUGAUUAGACAUGUAUCACUGAAGGAUUUUUCUCACAUCAAGCUAACAAGCCUUGACAAAACUGAAAUACAAGCUGGUCAUUUGAUGUAAUACAAGUACUCCUUGUACAAAUCUAGAACUUGAAGCUUACAUUUCAACUGAUAUAGUCACCAGGUACAGUAUACAAUGUAAGAUGUUAUUUAUGACGAAGAAUCAGCUCUGUGAUUUGAUAAAAAAUGAUGCAAUUUCAUGUCAGGAUUCAUAAAGAAAUACAGC
RNAcentral lists this unclassified non-coding RNA (8663 nucleotides) under Haliotis rubra (blacklip abalone). Its description in RNAcentral is "uncharacterized LOC124286765, transcript variant X2". The record is from RNAcentral. Lineage: Eukaryota; Metazoa; Mollusca; Gastropoda; Lepetellida; Haliotidae.